AGGGCGGCGUGCUAAUACAUGCAAGUCGAGCGGACAGAUGGGAGCUUGCUCCCUGAUGUUAGCGGCGGACGGGUGAGUAACACGUGGGUAACCUGCCUGUAAGACUGGGAUAACUCCGGGAAACCGGGGCUAAUACCGGAUGGUUGUUUGAACCGCAUGGUUCAGACAUAAAAGGUGGCUUCGGCUACCACUUACAGAUGGACCCGCGGCGCAUUAGCUAGUUGGUGAGGUAACGGCUCACCAAGGCAACGAUGCGUAGCCGACCUGAGAGGGUGAUCGGCCACACUGGGACUGAGACACGGCCCAGACUCCUACGGGAGGCAGCAGUAGGGAAUCUUCCGCAAUGGACGAAAGUCUGACGGAGCAACGCCGCGUGAGUGAUGAAGGUUUUCGGAUCGUAAAGCUCUGUUGUUAGGGAAGAACAAGUGCCGUUCAAAUAGGGCGGCACCUUGACGGUACCUAACCAGAAAGCCACGGCUAACUACGUGCCAGCAGCCGCGGUAAUACGUAGGUGGCAAGCGUUGUCCGGAAUUAUUGGGCGUAAAGGGCUCGCAGGCGGUUUCUUAAGUCUGAUGUGAAAGCCCCCGGCUCAACCGGGGAGGGUCAUUGGAAACUGGGGAACUUGAGUGCAGAAGAGGAGAGUGGAAUUCCACGUGUAGCGGUGAAAUGCGUAGAGAUGUGGAGGAACACCAGUGGCGAAGGCGACUCUCUGGUCUGUAACUGACGCUGAGGAGCGAAAGCGUGGGGAGCGAACAGGAUUAGAUACCCUGGUAGUCCACGCCGUAAACGAUGAGUGCUAAGUGUUAGGGGGUUUCCGCCCCUUAGUGCUGCAGCUAACGCAUUAAGCACUCCGCCUGGGGAGUACGGUCGCAAGACUGAAACUCAAAGGAAUUGACGGGGGCCCGCACAAGCGGUGGAGCAUGUGGUUUAAUUCGAAGCAACGCGAAGAACCUUACCAGGUCUUGACAUCCUCUGACAAUCCUAGAGAUAGGACGUCCCCUUCGGGGGCAGAGUGACAGGUGGUGCAUGGUUGUCGUCAGCUCGUGUCGUGAGAUGUUGGGUUAAGUCCCGCAACGAGCGCAACCCUUGAUCUUAGUUGCCAGCAUUCAGUUGGGCACUCUAAGGUGACUGCCGGUGACAAACCGGAGGAAGGUGGGGAUGACGUCAAAUCAUCAUGCCCCUUAUGACCUGGGCUACACACGUGCUACAAUGGACAGAACAAAGGGCAGCGAAACCGCGAGGUUAAGCCAAUCCCACAAAUCUGUUCUCAGUUCGGAUCGCAGUCUGCAACUCGACUGCGUG
Molecule: ribosomal RNA, 1302 nt
Filed under: uncultured Bacillus sp.
Lineage: Bacteria; Bacillati; Bacillota; Bacilli; Caryophanales; Bacillaceae
Description: bacterial SSU rRNA
Rfam family: Bacterial small subunit ribosomal RNA
Source: RNAcentral